UCGAGAAUCUUCGGCAAUGGGCGCAAGCCUGACCGAGCGACGCCGCGUGGAGGAUGAAGGCCUUCGGGUUGUAAACUCCUGUCGAGGGGGAGGAAGGGGCGACCUUGACCGAUCCCUGGAGGAAGCACGGGCUAAGUUCGUGCCAGCAGCCGCGGUAAGACGAACCGUGCGAACGUUAUUCGGAAUCACUGGGCUUAAAGCGCGUGUAGGCGGAUGGGUGCGUCGGAUCCUGAAAGCCCCCGGCUCAACCGGGGAAGCGGGGCCGAAACGACCCGUCUCGAGGGACGUAGGGGGAUCUGGAACUUCCGGUGGAGCGGUGAAAUGCGUUGAGAUCGGAAGGAACGCCCGUGGCGAAAGCGAGAUCCUGGACGUCUUCUGACGCUGAGACGCGAAAGCUAGGGGAGCAAACGGGAUUAGAUACCCCCGUAGUCC
This 432-nucleotide ribosomal RNA is filed under the name uncultured bacterium. RNAcentral's name for it is "bacterial SSU rRNA". It matches the Rfam family "Bacterial small subunit ribosomal RNA", at positions 355 to 796 of the family's 1533-position model. The record is from RNAcentral.